This is a non-coding RNA of Pelobates cultripes (western spadefoot toad), 222 nucleotides long. The record is from the annotation of a GenBank genome assembly. NCBI's taxonomy places the organism in Eukaryota, Metazoa, Chordata, Amphibia, Anura, Pelobatidae.
GUGAUGUGCUAAUAUGUAUUUGCUUUAAUGAUAUACCCAGAACAUGUUGCCAUUACAGUCUUUUGUCAUACAGUAAGAAGAAGAUCCACAUACAAUGCCUUAAACCAGUGGUAGUCAACCUUUUUCUACCUACCGCCCAAUAAUGCAUUUUUCUUGAUGGAAAAAUUUCCUUACCGCCCACCAGUUUUCGCGCAAGUGCAGGAUGUUUUUUUUAGAAAGGAG